GCCUCUAAGACCUGAGACUGCCAUUCCUCAACAGCCCUGCUUGUCUCAGUGAGCAUUGGAUUAGAACCAGGGAAAGAAAAAAAAUUGGAGAAAGACAAAGCUGUGUGACAACAUGCAGCCCUCGAUCUCACUACCCUCAGAGGUCCAAGAUUCUCUCUUCUACCCUUUCAUCCUUCCCCAGAGUUAAUGACUUCAAAGAAAUGUGACACUACCGCCAGG
This 219-nucleotide long non-coding RNA is filed under the name Fukomys damarensis (Damara mole-rat). RNAcentral's name for it is "lncRNA (ENSFDAG00000029947.1)". Lineage: Eukaryota; Metazoa; Chordata; Mammalia; Rodentia; Bathyergidae. The record is from RNAcentral.